RNAcentral lists this long non-coding RNA (472 nucleotides) under Panax ginseng (ginseng). RNAcentral describes it as "long non-coding RNA (PGIN_LNC007595)". Lineage: Eukaryota; Viridiplantae; Streptophyta; Magnoliopsida; Apiales; Araliaceae. The record is from RNAcentral.
CCACGAAUGGCGGCGCCGUCGUACGAAUAUUCCCCGAUAACAAGAAUAUUCCACGACCAAACGAAUAUUCCCCGACAAAAUGAAUAUUUUAUAACCACGUGCUUAUUUUAUAAAAUUUGCACAUUUCACCCAUAACCAAAGUAUUAUAUCAAAUUAACUACUUAUUAUUUCAAUAUAAUAAAUAUAGAAAAUUUAAUUUUAUUCAUAAUAAGUUGGGGUCUUACAUUUUACAUGUUUUUAUGUGUUCGUAUUGUAGGAGUAGAAGUGGAUGGAAAGCCAAAGGAAAAGGGAAAAAGCGUCAAAGUGAUUCUAGCACCCCCAUCGGGAUGGGUGUACACAAGCCAAAUCACCCCCAUCUGUUCGUAUUUACAGUUUGAAUUCUUUGUAUUCAGCUUUGUAUUUAGAAUGCUAGUAUCUUUGUGGAUUUCAAUUUCUUAUUUAUUCAUCAUGAACUAAUUUACUAUUUAAGUCU